UGCGUUCUCUUAGCUAGCCAACAUGUUCCCUACCUUGUGUGCUCUUGAUACAUUCCUAAUAAAUUAUUUACUCUCUAAAGUAGAUCUAAAACUCUUGAUGUUGAGACGGUUAGCCACUUAUCAAAAAGUGACUUGAAGGUGACUAAAACUCUUCAAUUUUGAAGUUGAGCUUUUCCACUUAUAUGUCAAUUUAAAUCUUGUUUCUUUAACAUUCAUCUAGUUGUAUCUUGCCUGCAGGUUGUGUAAAGAAGAAUGAACUUAAUAGUAAAAGACUCAAAACUGAGCUACAUAAACCGAAUAACCAGUAAAAUAUCAUACAAUGAAUAUAUCAUUAGAUUACAAUGAAUUGAACAACAAAAAGAGCAAAGCAAUCUAAAGUGGUCCAAAUAAAAGAGCAACCAAAGCUAAAUACCUGAACAAUAUGUCGAGUUAGAGCAUCAACUAGAUUGUAGGUUUUUCUCUUAGCUAGUUGCCAUUGUCCAGCUGUAGUUGAUCAAACAAAACCCUUCAAACAAUAAAGGUCAGUGUGUGUGUGUAUACAGACACACACACACACACAAUCAGUUAUCAACACACAGACACACAUCUAGAAAAAAAAAUAAUAAUAAAAAAUGAAGGUAAGAAAGCACAUUUUGCAUACCCAACAAGCCAUAAAUCAUAACCCUCUAGGCUUAGCUUCCAAACUGAUAAGACUAGAAUAAUUUGUGCUUUUUACUUACAAUUACAUGGUUCUUGUAGUAAACCUUUACAACAGGGUUCCUUAGAGAAAUCAUUGUAUCAUGUCAAGCACUGUCCCUUAUUUCUUGCCCAGUUCACAUGCUGCUUCCAUAGUUCUUCACCAAGGUUUAAUCAAAACAAAAGGUCAAACAAUGAGAAGUUAAAAGACAGAAAAAAGCAGAGCCUGAAAAUAUAACACUCAUAACUGAUUCUACAGGUACUCAAUGUUAAAGGGCCAGC
This 957-nucleotide long non-coding RNA is filed under the name Fragaria vesca (wild strawberry). Its description in RNAcentral is "long non-coding RNA (FVES_LNC003232)". The record is from RNAcentral. Lineage: Eukaryota; Viridiplantae; Streptophyta; Magnoliopsida; Rosales; Rosaceae.